Long non-coding RNA from Brassica oleracea var. oleracea, 1551 nucleotides. RefSeq lists it as uncharacterized. The record is from RefSeq and is a predicted model, not a curated record. The transcript has 6 exons. NCBI's taxonomy places the organism in Eukaryota, Viridiplantae, Streptophyta, Magnoliopsida, Brassicales, Brassicaceae.
ACAAAAACUUAAAGCGCCUUUCCGAUCUCCCUAACGUCUCAACCAUCCAUUAAUCUGUUCCUUACUCCGAGUUUUUUUCGUGAUUGAUCCACUUUUCUCACUUGAAGCAUUCAAUCUACCUCUUCGUAUCCCACAGUAACCGGCUGAAGUUUCAGCUAUAAAUAUAGGACAUCUAUGAUGUACAUUUCAACUCAAAUGAUCCAGAAACAUGCUUUUCCUAGCAACCGAUUCCGAUGGCGAUUUCAUACGUUCUCCACUGAAAACAAUUGAAGGCCGAGUGUUGUCGAGAAAAUGUGCAGACAAGGCUCCUCCGAUUUUGGGAAGUCAAGAAUGUUAAGAAAGGAAUGUAUGUUGAUAUGGUCCUUAUUGAUUCGCUACGCUUAUCCAAGGGUCAAUCAACAUCCACCAUCUUAACACUUUCAAGAAUAUCGUGCAAGAAAGGCUCUGCGUAUGAGCUACGUGUUCUCGAUAUUGCAUGAAAUAAGUUUGUUGAAGCCCAUGUGUCAAUUAGAUUCACGGACCAAACUGUGAACUGAUCCCCAAGGAGUGUUUUAGGUUUCGCAAAUACGAGCAGCUCAUGUUACUAGCCAAUACAGAUGCUUAUUUCCCAGGUUUUAAUAUUGAAAUCCCUAAACGAUCACUCCAUAUUAUGAGUGUACAUUUUACAGAGAAUUAGCCCUAAUAGUUGUAUUGGUUAGAAUAUAUCGUUGGAGAAAUAGAGGCGUUAAAACCAUCUACAACAAAAAAGACUCAGGGCACUAUUGGCAACCAUAAGGCUUCAUAUUGUAUUUGUGCCUCUAUUUAGUACCCUUAUAUAUAUAUAUAUGUGCGUGCUCUGUUAUAAACGAUGAUUAACUAAUUUUUUCCACUUUUGGGACACUCAUGUAUGCUUGAGUGUUUUUGACAGGCUAGCUGCACCUUGAUAAAAAAAUUACUAGAAUCUGGUGUUGAACCAAGGGGGUCGUUGCAACAAAUAUAUACCCAUAACUUGUUGGAGGGAGGUUGUUUCUGAACGCUACAUCGGGAACAAAUUUAUGUUUUGACAACAAGUGUGGAGCGAGCAGUAGAUUUCUCAAAAACUAGGAUAUUCAUUGCAAUCAAGAGCACAAUCAACGACGGUAAACAGGGGACACAACGUGUAAUGCUGACUCUACGUCUAUAAAGGCUGGUUAUUUCUCAACGGCACUUCCGGAACCUAUGUCUACUUUGACUCUGAGACAGCAUUGUGAAACCCAAUGAAGAUUGUUGAUCUGUUUUCUUGGGGAUGGUUAUGAAACCCAGGUCGGGCUUUUCCAAUCUUUGAAAUUAUAGGUUUCUUCAAAUAUUUGGAAUGUCAUUGUAAACUUCAAAACAGAGGUUGUGGGAGUUUUAGUGUGCAUGAUUGGUUACACUGUUUCAAGUCGAGUUAUGUUAUUGUAACUGAAAUAUUUGUCUUUAUAUGCUUACAUGAAAGGUUUACAGUGAUAUAGUAGGAAGUUUUAUUAUGUUGCUCCUAAAGUAGAUGAAAUUACAGAAAGGAGAUCGAUGUUUGGAGUGUAUGGAUUAUUUUAU